GGAUCGUCUAGUGGUAGGACGGCGGACUCUGGCUCCGUUAACGAGGGUUCGAAUCCUUCUCC
RNAcentral lists this transfer RNA (62 nucleotides) under marine eukaryotic metagenome. It matches the Rfam family "tRNA", at positions 5 to 66 of the family's 71-position model. Rfam says of the family: Transfer RNA (tRNA) molecules are approximately 80 nucleotides in length. Their secondary structure includes four short double-helical elements and three loops (D, anti-codon, and T loops). The record is from RNAcentral.